RNAcentral lists this ribosomal RNA (437 nucleotides) under uncultured Acetobacteraceae bacterium. RNAcentral's name for it is "bacterial SSU rRNA". It matches the Rfam family "Bacterial small subunit ribosomal RNA", at positions 29 to 508 of the family's 1533-position model. Lineage: Bacteria; Pseudomonadati; Pseudomonadota; Alphaproteobacteria; Acetobacterales; Acetobacteraceae. The record is from RNAcentral.
GCGAACGCUGGCGGCAUGCCUAACACAUGCAAGUCGCACGGAGUGCUUCGGCACUUAGUGGCGGACGGGUGAGUAACGCGUAGGAAUCUAUCCUAAGGAGGGGGACAACACUGGGAAACCGGUGCUAAUACCGCAUAACAAUUAAGGUUCAAAGGCUUCGGCCGCCUUAGGAGGGGCCUGCGUUCGAUUAGUUAGUUGGUAGGGUAAAAGCUUACCAAGGCGAUGAUCGAUAGCUGGUUUAAGAGGAUGGUCAGCCACACUGGGACUGAGACACGGCCCAGACUCCUACGGGAGGCAGCAGUGGGGAAUAUUGGACAAUGGGGGCAACCCUGAUCCAGCAAUGCCGCGUGCGUGAAGAAGGUCUUCGGAUUGUAAAGCGCUUUCGAUAGGGGAGAUGAUGACGGUACCUAUAGAAGAAGCUCCGGCUAACUUCGUGC